AAGACUAUAGACCUGCGGAGUACCUGCGGAGGGAUCAUUACUUAUUGGGGUCUAAAGAAAGCAAUUUCUUUGGGCCUAAAAACUCAUCCACAGGGUGUGCAAUGUCUUUUAUAUAUUUGUGCCUGGUUGGGUCGGCCACCACUUGAGCUUAUCACGGAUGCCGCGGGGCGCUGUGAUAGCGGUCAAACUUUUUCCUUUUGGAAAGGGCGAGGCCCCUCUUGUAACGGGGACAAAGUUUUU
Molecule: unclassified non-coding RNA, 240 nt
Filed under: soil metagenome
Description: partial contains 5.8S ribosomal RNA, internal transcribed spacer 2, and large subunit ribosomal RNA
Source: RNAcentral